Molecule: non-coding RNA, 302 nt
Organism: Otolemur garnettii (small-eared galago)
Lineage: Eukaryota; Metazoa; Chordata; Mammalia; Primates; Galagidae
Source: Rfam
GCUACAGGCGGUGGCGUGCGCCUGCAGUCCCAGCUACUCAGGAGGCUGAGACAGGUGGAUUGCUGGAGUUUAGGAGUACUGGGCUGUAGUGGGUGCUAGGCUGAUCAGGUGUCCGCCCUAAGUUCGGCCUCAAUAUGGUGACCUCCCAAGAGCAGGGGACCAUCAGGUUCCCUAAGGAGGGAUGAACCAGCCCAGGUUGGAAAUGGAGCAGGUUAAAACUUCUGUGCUGAUCAUUAGUGGGGUCGCGCCUGUGAAUAGCCACUGCACUCCAGCCUGAGCAACAUAGUUAGACUCUUUCUCUG